GAAAUCGGGCUCACUCCCAACCCCAAUGUGAACGUUACCAAUCUGUUGCCUCGGCGGGAUUCUCUUGCCCCGGGCGCGUCGCAGCCCCGGAUCCCAUGGCGCCCGCCGGAGGACCAACUCCAAACUCUUUUUUUCUCUCCGUCGCGGCUCCCGUCGCGGCUCUGUUUUACUUUUGCUCUGAGCCUUUCUCGGCGACCCUAGCGGGCGUCUCGAAAAUGAAUCAAAACUUUCAACAACGGAUCUCUUGGUUCUGGCAUCGAUGAAGAACGCAGCGAAAUGCGAUAAGUAAUGUGAAUUGCAGAAUUCAGUGAAUCAUCGAAUCUUUGAACGCACAUUGCGCCCGCCAGUAUUCUGGCGGGCAUGCCUGUCCGAGCGUCAUUUCAACCCUCGAACCCCUCCGGGGGGUCGGCGUUGGGGAUCGGCCCCUCACCGGGCCGCCCCCGAAAUACAGUGGCGGUCUCGCCGCAGCCUCUCCUGCGCAGUAGUUUGCACACUCGCACCGGGAGCGCGGCGCGGCCACAGCCGUAAAACACCCCAAACUUCUGAAAUGUUGACCUCGGAUCAGGUAGGAAUACCCGCUGAACUUAAGCAUAUCAAUAAGGCGGAGGAA
Molecule: ribosomal RNA, 610 nt
Filed under: Trichoderma longibrachiatum
Lineage: Eukaryota; Fungi; Ascomycota; Sordariomycetes; Hypocreales; Hypocreaceae
Description: eukaryotic LSU rRNA
Rfam family: 5.8S ribosomal RNA (bases 225-378)
Source: RNAcentral